RNAcentral lists this ribosomal RNA (2893 nucleotides) under Escherichia coli O178:H19. RNAcentral describes it as "bacterial LSU rRNA". It matches the Rfam family "Bacterial large subunit ribosomal RNA". Lineage: Bacteria; Pseudomonadati; Pseudomonadota; Gammaproteobacteria; Enterobacterales; Enterobacteriaceae. The record is from RNAcentral.
ACUAAGCGUACACGGUGGAUGCCCUGGCAGUCAGAGGCGAUGAAGGACGUGCUAAUCUGCGAUAAGCGUCGGUAAGGUGAUAUGAACCGUUAUAACCGGCGAUUUCCGAAUGGGGAAACCCAGUGUGUUUCGACACACUAUCAUUAACUGAAUCCAUAGGUUAAUGAGGCGAACCGGGGGAACUGAAACAUCUAAGUACCCCGAGGAAAAGAAAUCAACCGAGAUUCCCCCAGUAGCGGCGAGCGAACGGGGAGCAGCCCAGAGCCUGAAUCAGUGUGUGUGUUAGUGGAAGCGUCUGGAAAGGCGCGCGAUACAGGGUGACAGCCCCGUACACAAAAAUGCACAUACUGUGAGCUCGAUGAGUAGGGCGGGACACGUGGUAUCCUGUCUGAAUAUGGGGGGACCAUCCUCCAAGGCUAAAUACUCCUGACUGACCGAUAGUGAACCAGUACCGUGAGGGAAAGGCGAAAAGAACCCCGGCGAGGGGAGUGAAAAAGAACCUGAAACCGUGUACGUACAAGCAGUGGGAGCACGCUUAGGCGUGUGACUGCGUACCUUUUGUAUAAUGGGUCAGCGACUUAUAUUCUGUAGCAAGGUUAACCGAAUAGGGGAGCCGAAGGGAAACCGAGUCUUAACUGGGCGUUAAGUUGCAGGGUAUAGACCCGAAACCCGGUGAUCUAGCCAUGGGCAGGUUGAAGGUUGGGUAACACUAACUGGAGGACCGAACCGACUAAUGUUGAAAAAUUAGCGGAUGACUUGUGGCUGGGGGUGAAAGGCCAAUCAAACCGGGAGAUAGCUGGUUCUCCCCGAAAGCUAUUUAGGUAGCGCCUCGUGAAUUCAUCUCCGGGGGUAGAGCACUGUUUCGGCAAGGGGGUCAUCCCGACUUACCAACCCGAUGCAAACUACGAAUACCGGAGAAUGUUAUCACGGGAGACACACGGCGGGUGCUAACGUCCGUCGUGAAGAGGGAAACAACCCAGACCGCCAGCUAAGGUCCCAAAGUCAUGGUUAAGUGGGAAACGAUGUGGGAAGGCCCAGACAGCCAGGAUGUUGGCUUAGAAGCAGCCAUCAUUUAAAGAAAGCGUAAUAGCUCACUGGUCGAGUCGGCCUGCGCGGAAGAUGUAACGGGGCUAAACCAUGCACCGAAGCUGCGGCAGCGACGCUGAUGCGUUGUUGGGUAGGGGAGCGUUCUGUAAGCCUGCGAAGGUGUGCUGUGAGGCAUGCUGGAGGUAUCAGAAGUGCGAAUGCUGACAUAAGUAACGAUAAAGCGGGUGAAAAGCCCGCUCGCCGGAAGACCAAGGGUUCCUGUCCAACGUUAAUCGGGGCAGGGUGAGUCGACCCCUAAGGCGAGGCCGAAAGGCGUAGUCGAUGGGAAACAGGUUAAUAUUCCUGUACUUGGUGUUACUGCGAAGGGGGGACGGAGAAGGCUAUGUUGGCCGGGCGACGGUUGUCCCGGUUUAAGCGUGUAGGCUGGUUUUCCAGGCAAAUCCGGAAAAUCAAGGCUGAGGCGUGAUGACGAGGCACUACGGUGCUGAAGCAACAAAUGCCCUGCUUCCAGGAAAAGCCUCUAAGCAUCAGGUAACAUCAAAUCGUACCCCAAACCGACACAGGUGGUCAGGUAGAGAAUACCAAGGCGCUUGAGAGAACUCGGGUGAAGGAACUAGGCAAAAUGGUGCCGUAACUUCGGGAGAAGGCACGCUGAUAUGUAGGUGAAGUCCCUCGCGGAUGGAGCUGAAAUCAGUCGAAGAUACCAGCUGGCUGCAACUGUUUAUUAAAAACACAGCACUGUGCAAACACGAAAGUGGACGUAUACGGUGUGACGCCUGCCCGGUGCCGGAAGGUUAAUUGAUGGGGUUAGCGCAAGCGAAGCUCUUGAUCGAAGCCCCGGUAAACGGCGGCCGUAACUAUAACGGUCCUAAGGUAGCGAAAUUCCUUGUCGGGUAAGUUCCGACCUGCACGAAUGGCGUAAUGAUGGCCAGGCUGUCUCCACCCGAGACUCAGUGAAAUUGAACUCGCUGUGAAGAUGCAGUGUACCCGCGGCAAGACGGAAAGACCCCGUGAACCUUUACUAUAGCUUGACACUGAACAUUGAGCCUUGAUGUGUAGGAUAGGUGGGAGGCUUUGAAGUGUGGACGCCAGUCUGCAUGGAGCCGACCUUGAAAUACCACCCUUUAAUGUUUGAUGUUCUAACGUGGACCCGUAAUCCGGGUUGCGGACAGUGUCUGGUGGGUAGUUUGACUGGGGCGGUCUCCUCCUAAAGAGUAACGGAGGAGCACGAAGGUUGGCUAAUCCUGGUCGGACAUCAGGAGGUUAGUGCAAUGGCAUAAGCCAGCUUGACUGCGAGCGUGACGGCGCGAGCAGGUGCGAAAGCAGGUCAUAGUGAUCCGGUGGUUCUGAAUGGAAGGGCCAUCGCUCAACGGAUAAAAGGUACUCCGGGGAUAACAGGCUGAUACCGCCCAAGAGUUCAUAUCGACGGCGGUGUUUGGCACCUCGAUGUCGGCUCAUCACAUCCUGGGGCUGAAGUAGGUCCCAAGGGUAUGGCUGUUCGCCAUUUAAAGUGGUACGCGAGCUGGGUUUAGAACGUCGUGAGACAGUUCGGUCCCUAUCUGCCGUGGGCGCUGGAGAAUUGAGGGGGGCUGCUCCUAGUACGAGAGGACCGGAGUGGACGCAUCACUGGUGUUCGGGUUGUCAUGCCAAUGGCACUGCCCGGUAGCUAAAUGCGGAAGAGAUAAGUGCUGAAAGCAUCUAAGCACGAAACUUGCCCCGAGAUGAGUUCUCCCUGACUCCUUGAGAGUCCUGAAGGAACGUUGAAGACGACGACGUUGAUAGGCCGGGUGUGUAAGCGCAGCGAUGCGUUGAGCUAACCGGUACUAAUGAACCGUGAGGCUUAACC